This 444-nucleotide ribosomal RNA is filed under the name uncultured bacterium. Its description in RNAcentral is "SSU rRNA". It matches the Rfam family "Bacterial small subunit ribosomal RNA", at positions 26 to 518 of the family's 1533-position model. The record is from RNAcentral.
AGAACGAACGCUGGCAGCAGGCUUAACACAUGCAAGUCGAGCGCCUCGCAAGAGGAGCGGCAGACGGGUGAGUAACACGUGGGAACGUGCCCAAAGGUACGGAACAACUCCGGGAAACUGGAGCUAAUACCGUAUGUGCCCGAAAGGGGAAAGAUUUAUCGCCUUUGGAUCGGCCCGCGUCUGAUUAGCUAGUUGGCGGGGUAAUGGCCCACCAAGGCGACGAUCAGUAGCUGGUCUGAGAGGAUGACCAGCCACAUUGGGACUGAGACACGGCCCAAACUCCUACGGGAGGCAGCAGUGGGGAAUAUUGGACAAUGGGCGCAAGCCUGAUCCAGCCAUGCCGCGUGAGUGAUGAAGGCCUUAGGGUUGUAAAGCUCUUUCGCCGAGGACGAUAAUGACGGUACUCGGAUAAGAAGCCCCGGCUAACUUCGUGCCAGCAGCCGC